RNAcentral lists this ribosomal RNA (253 nucleotides) under uncultured bacterium. Its description in RNAcentral is "partial 16S ribosomal RNA". It matches the Rfam family "Bacterial small subunit ribosomal RNA", at positions 524 to 776 of the family's 1533-position model. The record is from RNAcentral.
UACGGGGGGGGCAAGCGUUGUUCGGAAUUACUGGGCGUAAAGGGCUCGUAGGUGGCCAACUAAGUCAGACGUGAAAUCCCUCGGCUUAACCGGGGAACUGCGUCUGAUACUGGAUGGCUGGAGUUUGGGAGAGGGAUGCGGAAUUCCCGGUGUAGUGGUGAAAUGCGUAGAUAUCGGGAGGAACACCAGUGGCGAAGGCGGCUUCCUGGCCUGUUCUUGACGCUGAGGCGCGAAAGCUAGGGGAGCAAACGGG